GAUGAACGCUGGCGGCGUGCCUAAUACAUGCAAGUCGAGCGAACAGACGAGGAGCUUGCUCCUCUGACGUUAGCGGCGGACGGGUGAGUAACACGUGGAUAACCUACCUAUAAGACUGGGAUAACUUCGGGAAACCGGAGCUAAUACCGGAUAACAUGUUGAACCGCAUGGUUCAACAGUUAAAGUCAGUCUUUCUGUCACUUAUCGAUGGAUCCGCGCCGCAUUAGCUAGUUGGUAAGGUAACGGCUUACCAAGGCAACGAUGCGUAGCCGACCUGAGAGGGUGAUCGGCCACACAGGAACUGAGACACGGUCAAGACUCCUACGGGAGGCAGCAGUAGGGAAUAUUCCGCAAUGGGCGAAAGCAUGACGGAGCAACGCCGCGUGAGUGAAGAAGGUCUUCGGAUCGUAAAACUCUGUUAUUAGGGAAGAAAAAAUGUGUAAGUAACUAUGCACGUCUUGACGGUACCUAAUCAGAAAGCCACGGCUAACUACGUG
RNAcentral lists this ribosomal RNA (497 nucleotides) under uncultured bacterium. RNAcentral describes it as "partial 16S ribosomal RNA". It matches the Rfam family "Bacterial small subunit ribosomal RNA", at positions 28 to 507 of the family's 1533-position model. The record is from RNAcentral.